This 135-nucleotide ribosomal RNA is filed under the name uncultured bacterium. RNAcentral's name for it is "partial 16S ribosomal RNA". It matches the Rfam family "Bacterial small subunit ribosomal RNA", at positions 396 to 524 of the family's 1533-position model. The record is from RNAcentral.
GCCGCGUGAUGAUGAAGGUCUUCGGAUUGUAAAGUUCUGUUGUUAGGGAAGAAUGAUAGAGUGCGGAAAUGCUAUUUUAUUUGAUGGUACCUGAGAAGAAGCCCCGGCUAACUACGUGCCAGCCGCCGCGGUAAU